Molecule: transfer RNA, 72 nt
Filed under: Stegodyphus mimosarum
Lineage: Eukaryota; Metazoa; Arthropoda; Arachnida; Araneae; Eresidae
Rfam family: tRNA
About the family: Transfer RNA (tRNA) molecules are approximately 80 nucleotides in length. Their secondary structure includes four short double-helical elements and three loops (D, anti-codon, and T loops).
Source: Rfam by way of RNAcentral
GCCUUCGUGGUGUAACGGUUAGCACACUUGGCGCUUAUCCGAGAGGUCCAGGUUCAAAUCCCGGCGAGAGAA